AUCUCAAGUCAAAGGAAACGGUUACAUCACAUUCUUCAAGAAAAUAUCAUAUUGACAAUUAUGGUAAUUCUAACCAUUAGGAAUUAUCCAAUGAGUCGGUUCAAUGAUCAUAUCUCUAUAUGCAUCAUCUAUCUAUGUGAUUUAGUUAACAAUUAGAAUUAUCCAAUGAGUUGGUUCAAUAAUCAUAUCUCUAUAGACAUCAUCUACCUAUGUGAUUUAGUUAAUGAGAUCAACUAAUCUUUAUCCGAUAAAGACGAUCACAUAAAUAUUGAUCUAACUGGAUUAAUAAUGUCCAAAUCAAU
Molecule: long non-coding RNA, 302 nt
Filed under: Nicotiana benthamiana
Lineage: Eukaryota; Viridiplantae; Streptophyta; Magnoliopsida; Solanales; Solanaceae
Description: long non-coding RNA (NBEN_LNC019906)
Source: RNAcentral